AUUGAACGCUGGCGGCAUGCCUUACACAUGCAAGUCGAACGGCAGCACGGGAGCAAUCCUGGUGGCGAGUGGCGAACGGGUGAGUAAUGUAUCGGAACGUGCCCAGUCGUGGGGGAUAACGUAGCGAAAGCUACGCUAAUACCGCAUACGAUCUAUGGAUGAAGGCGGGGGAUCGCAAGACCUCGCGCGAUUGGAGCGGCCGAUAUCAGAUUAGGUAGUUGGUGGGGAAAAGGCGCACCAAGCCGACGAUCUGUAGCUGGUCUGAGAGGACGCCCGGCCACACUGGGACUGAGACACGGCCCAGACUCCUACGGGAGGCAGCAGUGGGGAAUUUUGGACGAUGGGCGCAAGCCUGAUCCAGCAAUGCCGCGUGCAGGAUGAAGGCCUUCGGGUUGUAAACUGCUUUUGUACCGAACGAAACGGCGAGCUCUAAUACAGUUUGCUAAUGACGGUACCGUAAGAAUAAGCACCGGCUAACUACGUGCCAGCCGCCGCAGUAA
Molecule: ribosomal RNA, 500 nt
Filed under: uncultured bacterium
Lineage: Bacteria
Description: partial 16S ribosomal RNA
Rfam family: Bacterial small subunit ribosomal RNA
Source: RNAcentral